GACGUAGGGCGCAAGCGUUGUCCGGAUUUAUUGGGCGUAAAGAGCUCGUAGGCGGUUUGUUGCGUCGGCUGUGAAAUCCCGAGGCUCAACCUCGGGUCUGCAGUCGAUACGAGCAAACUAGAGUGUUGCAGGGGAGACUGGAAUUCCUGGUGUAGCGGUGAAAUGCGCAGAUAUCAGGAGGAACACCGGUGGGCGAAAGGCGGGCAUCC
Molecule: ribosomal RNA, 209 nt
Filed under: uncultured bacterium
Lineage: Bacteria
Description: partial 16S ribosomal RNA
Rfam family: Bacterial small subunit ribosomal RNA
Source: RNAcentral